RNAcentral lists this ribosomal RNA (861 nucleotides) under uncultured Acidobacteriota bacterium. Its description in RNAcentral is "bacterial SSU rRNA". It matches the Rfam family "Bacterial small subunit ribosomal RNA", at positions 58 to 922 of the family's 1533-position model. The record is from RNAcentral. Lineage: Bacteria; Pseudomonadati; Acidobacteriota.
CAAGUCGAGUGCGCGUCUGUAGCAAUACAGAUGGCGCACGGCGCACGGGUGCGUAACACGUGGGCAAUCUGCCCUUCGAUGGGGAAUAUCUUCGGGAAACCGAAGCGAAUUCCGCAUAACAUUCCUUGGACUGCGGUUCGAGGACUCAAAGCCGUAAGGCGUCGAAGGAGGAGCCCGCGCACGAUUAGCUAGUUGGUAGGGUAACGGCCUACCAAGGCCUUGAUCGUUAGCUGGUCUGAGAGGAUGGCCAGCCACACUGGAACUGAGACACGGUCCAGACUCCUACGGGAGGCAGCAGUGGGGAAUCUUGCACAAUGGGCGAAAGCCUGAUGCAGCGACGCCGCGUGGGGGAUGAAGCAUCUCGGUGUGUAAACCCCUUUCGACCCGGAAGAAUGCCUCGCAAGAGGACUGACGGUACGGGUAUAAGAAGCCCCGGCUAACUACGUGCCAGCAGCCGCGGUAAGACGUAGGGGGCCAGCGUUGUUCGGAAUUACUGGGUGUAAAGGGUUCGUAGGCGGUGUGGCAAGUUGGGAGUGAAAUCUCUGGGCUCAACCCAGAGGCUGCUUCCAAAACUGCUGUGCUUGAGUGUGGGAGAGGCGCGUGGAAUUGCAGGUGUAGCGGUGAAAUGCGUAGAUAUCUGCAGGAACACCCGUGGCGAAAGCGGCGCGCUGGACCACUACUGACGCUGAGGAACGAAAGCUAGGGGAGCAAACAGGAUUAGAUACCCUGGUAGUCCUAGCCCUAAACGAUCAGGACUUGGGGUGCCACCCGUUCGGGUGUCGUCCCGGAGCUAACGCGUUAAGUCCUGCACCUGGGGAGUACGGUCGCAAGACUGAAACUCAAAGGAAUUGACGGGGGCCC